Molecule: unclassified non-coding RNA, 348 nt
Filed under: soil metagenome
Description: partial contains 5.8S ribosomal RNA, internal transcribed spacer 2, and large subunit ribosomal RNA
Rfam family: 5.8S ribosomal RNA (bases 1-120)
Source: RNAcentral
GAUGAAGAACGUAGCGAAAUGCGAAAAGUAAUGUGAAUUGCAGAAUUCAGUGAACCAUCGAAUCUUUGAACGCACAUUGCGCCCGCUGGAACUCAGGCGGGCACGCCUGUCCGAGCGUCAUUUCAACCCUCAGGCCCCCCUUCGCGGGCGGGCCUGGUGUUGGGGCCCGGCCGCUACCCUGCGGCCGUCCCCUAAAUUCAGUGGCGGCCUCGCCGUGAUCCCUUGCGUAGUAAUGCACCUCGCACCGGAGAGCGCCGUGGCCACGCCGUAAAACCCCCAAUUUUCAAUGGUUGACCUCGGAUCAGGUGGGAAUACCCGCUGAACUUAAGCAUAUCAAUAAGCGGAGGA